Molecule: unclassified non-coding RNA, 201 nt
Filed under: Hevea brasiliensis (rubber tree)
Lineage: Eukaryota; Viridiplantae; Streptophyta; Magnoliopsida; Malpighiales; Euphorbiaceae
Source: RNAcentral
AUCCUCUAAAACCUCCAUCCAUUCCACCAGCAACAUUUGCACCACCUCCGAGGAAGUUGCCUAACAAUUCACCACCCAGCCAUCCAAGACAUCCUCUAAAACCUCCAUCCAUUUCACCAGUUAAGCAUAAUAUAUCCCCUGUAUCAAUUCCGUGGCCAAGCAUCAACCGCAAAAGAGCAAGUGCUCCAACUGUUGCACCUA